RNAcentral lists this long non-coding RNA (212 nucleotides) under Elaeis guineensis (African oil palm). Its description in RNAcentral is "long non-coding RNA (EGUI_LNC028489)". The record is from RNAcentral. Lineage: Eukaryota; Viridiplantae; Streptophyta; Magnoliopsida; Arecales; Arecaceae.
CAGUCUAGAAUCCAUUGUCGAUUUUGAGCAGUUGAUUGAACCUAAUCAAUAGUUAACCUGAUCGAUUCUAAUUGAUUAAUUUGAUGUCUAAGGCAAAAUUUAGAUGGUGGUUAUUUAAUUGGUUCCAUUGUCUGAUCUGAUCAAUUUAAUUAGUGUCUAAAGAAAGCAAUAGGGGGACCUCCACUCAUCUUAACUUAUCUGGCUAUAUUGGG